Molecule: ribosomal RNA, 637 nt
Filed under: uncultured bacterium
Lineage: Bacteria
Also listed under: 1 other name
Description: bacterial SSU rRNA
Rfam family: Bacterial small subunit ribosomal RNA
Source: RNAcentral
AGUGUGCUGGAAUUCAGGUAAACGAUGAGUGCUAGGUGUUAGGCCCUUUCCGGGGCUUAGUGCCGCAGCUAACGCAUUAAGCACUCCGCCUGGGGAGUACGACCGCAAGGUUGAAACUCAAAGGAAUUGACGGGGGCCCGCACAAGCGGUGGAGCAUGUGGUUUAAUUCGAAGCAACGCGAAGAACCUUACCAGGUCUUGACAUCCCAGUGACCGCUCUAGAGAUAGAGUUUUUCUUCGGAACACUGGUGACAGGUGGUGCAUGGUUGUCGUCAGCUCGUGUCGUGAGAUGUUGGGUUAAGUCCCGCAACGAGCGCAACCCUUAUUGUUAGUUGCCAUCAUUCAGUUGGGCACUCUAGCGAGACUGCCGGUAAUAAACCGGAGGAAGGUGGGGAUGACGUCAAAUCAUCAUGCCCCUUAUGACCUGGGCUACACACGUGCUACAAUGGUUGGUACAACGAGUCGCAAGUCGGUGACGGCAAGCAAAUCUCUUAAAGCCAAUCUCAGUUCGGAUUGUAGGCUGCAACUCGCCUACAUGAAGUCGGAAUCGCUAGUAAUCGCGGAUCAGCACGCCGCGGUGAAUACGUUCCCGGGCCUUGUACACACCGCCCGUCACACCACGAGAGUUUGUAACACCC